This 72-nucleotide transfer RNA is filed under the name Ictidomys tridecemlineatus (thirteen-lined ground squirrel). Its description in RNAcentral is "Spermophilus tridecemlineatus (thirteen-lined ground squirrel) tRNA". It matches the Rfam family "tRNA". Rfam says of the family: Transfer RNA (tRNA) molecules are approximately 80 nucleotides in length. Their secondary structure includes four short double-helical elements and three loops (D, anti-codon, and T loops). Lineage: Eukaryota; Metazoa; Chordata; Mammalia; Rodentia; Sciuridae. The record is from Rfam by way of RNAcentral.
GGGGUUGUGGCUUAGUGGUAGAGCACUUGCCUAGCACAUAUGAGACACUGGGUUCAAUCCUCAGCAUCACCU